GAUGAACACUGGCGGCGUGCCUAAUACAUGCAAGUCGAGCGAACGGACGAGAAGCUUGCUUCUCUGAUGUUAGCGGCGGACGGGUGAGUAACACGUGGAUAACCUACCUAUAAGACUGGGAUAACUUCGGGAAACCGGAGCUAAUACCGGAUAAUAUUUUGAACCGCAUGGUUCAAAAGUGAAAGACGGUCUUGCUGUCACUUAUAGAUGGAUCCGCGCUGCAUUAGCUAGUUGGUAAGGUAACGGCUUACCAAGGCAACGAUGCAUAGCCGACCUGAGAGAGUGAUCGGCCACACUGGAACUGAGACACGGUCCAGACUCCUACGGGAGGCAGCAGUAGGGAAUCUUCCGCAAUGGGCGAAAGCCUGACGGAGCAACGCCGCGUGAGUGAUGAAGGUCUUCGGAUCGUAAAACUCUGUUAUUAGGGAAGAACAUAUGUGUAAGUAACUGUGCACAUCUUGACGGUACCUAAUCAGAAAGCCACGGCUAACUACGUG
This 497-nucleotide ribosomal RNA is filed under the name uncultured bacterium. Its description in RNAcentral is "partial 16S ribosomal RNA". It matches the Rfam family "Bacterial small subunit ribosomal RNA", at positions 28 to 507 of the family's 1533-position model. The record is from RNAcentral.